AGGUCUGCAACCCGACUCCAUGAAGCUGGAUUCGCUAGUAAUCGCGCAUCAGCCACGGCGCGGUGAAUACGUUCCCGGGCCUUGUACACACCGCCCGUCAAGCCAUGGAAGCCGGGAGUGCCUGAAGUGCGUGAGCGCAAGCAGCGCCCUAAGGUAAAACCGGUGACUGGGGCUAAGUCGUAACAAGGUAUC
RNAcentral lists this ribosomal RNA (192 nucleotides) under uncultured bacterium. Its description in RNAcentral is "partial 16S ribosomal RNA". It matches the Rfam family "Bacterial small subunit ribosomal RNA", at positions 1301 to 1500 of the family's 1533-position model. The record is from RNAcentral.